RNAcentral lists this ribosomal RNA (254 nucleotides) under uncultured bacterium. RNAcentral describes it as "partial 16S ribosomal RNA". It matches the Rfam family "Bacterial small subunit ribosomal RNA", at positions 524 to 776 of the family's 1533-position model. The record is from RNAcentral.
UACGUAGGGUGCAAGCGUUGUUCGGAAUCAUUGGGCGUAAAGCGCGUGUAGGUGGUUAUUUAAGUCGAGUGUGAAAUCCCUGGGCUCAACCGAGGAAGUGCAUUCGAAACUGAAUAGCUAGAAGAUGGUAGAGGAAGGUGGAAUUCCUAGUGUAGAGGUGAAAAUUCGUAGAUAUCAAGCGGAACACCGGUGGCGAAGGCGGCCUUCUGGACAGUGACUGACGCUGAGACGCGAAAGCGUGGGGAGCAAACAGG